GACGAACGCUGGCGGCGUGCUUAACACAUGCAAGUCGAACGGAAAGGCCUCUUUCGGGGGGUACUCGAGUGGCGAACGGGUGAGUAACACGUGAGUAACCUGCCCUUGACUUUGGGAUAACUUCAGGAAACUGAGGCUAAUACCGGAUAGGAGCUCCUGCUGCAUGGUGGGGGUUGGAAAGUUUCGGCGGUUGGGGAUGGACUCGCGGCUUAUCAGCUUGUUGGUGGGGUAGUGGCUUACCAAGGCUUUGACGGGUAGCCGGCCUGAGAGGGUGACCGGCCACAUUGGGACUGAGAUACGGCCCAGACUCCUACGGGAGGCAGCAGUGGGGAAGAUUGCACAAUGGGUGGAAGCCUGAUGCAGCAACGCCGUGUGCGGGAUGACGGCCUUCGGGUUGUAAACCGCUUUCGCUCAUGACGAAGCUUUGUGUGACGGUAGUGGGUAAAGAAGCACCGGCUAACUACGUG
RNAcentral lists this ribosomal RNA (467 nucleotides) under uncultured bacterium. RNAcentral describes it as "partial 16S ribosomal RNA". It matches the Rfam family "Bacterial small subunit ribosomal RNA", at positions 28 to 507 of the family's 1533-position model. The record is from RNAcentral.